UCAAAGGUCAGAAAACCCCUGGUGGAGAGCCAGAGAUAAAUGUUGAAGGCCGCUGUGCUCACUGGCCUGAUUUGGGUAUCUAAGGUUGGGGAAGGCAGCAGGGAGAGGAUGGUGACUGGAGGCUCACGUGUAGCUGUGGUGCUGCUGGCGCCGACGGGCAGAUCGCAUCUUCUCGAAGCGGGCUUCCAUCUCCUCCAGCACCCGAGGAGUGUAGCGCACCACCAGUUUCACUGAGCCCUGUGCAGCCUUCAGGAGUUCCACCGCCUUUUCAUGGUGUUCGCCUUCCACACUCUGCAGGGCAGGCCUCGCACAGACUGCUGGCCCAAACCGCUGCCCUUACCACCCUACCCAGGACAUGGGACCAGUGGAUAGUGACACGGCUGCUGGGGUCAAGUCUCCAAGGCCUCAUAUCCCUCUAGUGGAUCACCAACUUUAGGCACAGCACCCACAACCUAAAAACUGCAUGUCAAGAUAGCUUUGAGUCCCAGUGUCCUCAAUGAACCAGGCCACUGAACCUGUCCCAAAAAA
RNAcentral lists this long non-coding RNA (528 nucleotides) under Mus musculus (house mouse). RNAcentral's name for it is "predicted gene 45619". The record is from RNAcentral. Lineage: Eukaryota; Metazoa; Chordata; Mammalia; Rodentia; Muridae.